RNAcentral lists this transfer-messenger RNA (354 nucleotides) under Roseivirga pacifica. It matches the Rfam family "transfer-messenger RNA". Rfam says of the family: Bacterial tmRNA, also known as 10Sa RNA or SsrA, is named for its dual tRNA and mRNA-like properties. Its role is to liberate the mRNA from a stalled ribosome. The record is from RNAcentral. Lineage: Bacteria; Pseudomonadati; Bacteroidota; Cytophagia; Cytophagales; Roseivirgaceae.
GGCGGUAAUAACCCAACGGGUAUAUUAGAUGUCGGGAGUUGUGCGUAUUUCCCGUAAAUAAAACGUUCAACCUUUUUAAAUGGCGAAAGACAAUACGCCCUUGCUGCCUAAUCAGAUUUAGAUAGCAAUGUGUCUCUCUCACCCCUCGUUCUGCCGGGUGGGAAUAUGAGACAUCACAAAGCAGAACUGGUGUUGGUAGGUUCGUGAUAUCAGCAUAAGAUUAACCGCGAAUAAGGUAAGGCUUAGGAUGGUUGCUGUCCUUGUCCGGCUCGAAAAUUAAUCAGCAAAUAAGCAUGUAGAAGGCACUUAGUGUUCCUUAUCUGGACGAGGGUUCGAAUCCCUCCGGCUCCACCU